GUUUGGACUAGGGGGGCAUCUCGCUUUACCGAAUUCAGACAAACUCCGAAUGCCAGAUAUUUAUACACGGGAGUCAGACUGCGAGUGAUAAGAUCCGGAGUCAAAAGGGAAACAGCCCAGACCACCAGCUAGGGUCCCAAAGUAAUCGUUAAGUGGUAAAGGAUGUGGGAUUGCACAGACAACCAGGAUGUUGGCUUAGAAGCAGCCACCAUUUAAAGAGUGCGUAAUAGCUCACUGGUCGAGUGAUCCUGCGCCGAAAAUUUCCGGGGCUAAAACGUACUACCGAAGCUACGGCAUCAUUUAUGAUGGGUAGGGGAGCUUCGUAUGCAGGCUGAAGCAUGACCGUAAGGACAUGUGGACAGUAUACGAGUGAGAAUGUUGGCAUGAGUAGCGAGACGUGGGUGAGAAUCCCACGGGUCGUAAACCCAAGGUUUCCAGGGGAAGGUUCGUCCGCCCUGGGUUAGUCGGGACCUAAGCCGAGGCCGAAAGGCGUAGGUGAUGGACAACAGGUUGAUAUUCCUGUACCGCCAAUAAGCGUUUGAGAGAUGGAGUGACACAGUAGGAUAAGCUAACCGUACUGUUGGUUAUGUACGGCUAAGCAUUGAGGCAGUCUAAAUAGGCAAAUCCGUUUAGACAAUGCUAGGAUGUGAUAGGGAAGCCCUUCGGGGCGAAGUAGCUGAUUUCACACUGUCAAGAAAAGCUUCUAUCGAGUUUAAAGGCGCCCGUACCGUAAACCGACACAGGUGGGUGAGGAGAGUAUCCUAAGGCCAGCGAGAGAACUAUUGUUAAGGAACUCGGCAAAAUGACCCCGUAACUUAGGGAGAAGGGGUGCCUGUCUAUGACAGGCCGCAGAGAAUAGGCCCAAGCGACUGUUUACCAAAAACACAGGUUUCUGCUAAGUCGCAAGACGAUGUAUAGGAGCUGACGCCUGCCCGGUGCUGGAAGGU
Molecule: ribosomal RNA, 947 nt
Filed under: Acinetobacter baumannii
Lineage: Bacteria; Pseudomonadati; Pseudomonadota; Gammaproteobacteria; Moraxellales; Moraxellaceae
Description: partial 23S ribosomal RNA
Rfam family: Bacterial large subunit ribosomal RNA
Source: RNAcentral